This 253-nucleotide ribosomal RNA is filed under the name uncultured bacterium. Its description in RNAcentral is "partial 16S ribosomal RNA". It matches the Rfam family "Bacterial small subunit ribosomal RNA", at positions 524 to 776 of the family's 1533-position model. The record is from RNAcentral.
UACGUAGGGUGCAAGCGUUGUCCGGAAUUAUUGGGCGUAAAGAGCUCGUAGGCGGUUUGUCGCGUCUGCUGUGAAAACUCGGGGCUUAACCCCGGGCCUGCAGUGGGUACGGGCAGACUAGAGUGCGGCAGGGGAGACUGGAAUUCCUGGUGUAGCGGUGAAAUGCGCAGAUAUCAGGAGGAACACCGGUGGCGAAGGCGGGUCUCUGGGCCGUAACUGACGCUGAGGAGCGAAAGCGUGGGGAGCGAACAGG